RNAcentral lists this ribosomal RNA (1341 nucleotides) under Kudoa rousseauxii. Its description in RNAcentral is "SSU rRNA". The record is from RNAcentral. Lineage: Eukaryota; Metazoa; Cnidaria; Myxozoa; Multivalvulida; Kudoidae.
GGGUUAACGGGGGAUCAGGGUUCGAUUCCGGAGAGGGAGCCUGAGAAACGGCUACCACAUCUAAGGAAGGCAGCAGGCGCGCAAAUUACCCAAUCCAGACUUUGGGAGGUAGUGACGAGAAAUACCGGAGUAGACCGUUAWAUGGUUCACUAUCGGAAUGAACGUAAUCCAAUACCUUCGAUGAGUAGCAACUGGAGGGCAAGUCUGGUGCCAGCAGCCGCGGUAAUUCCAGCUCCAGUAGUGUAUAUCAAAAUUGUUGCGGUUAAAACGCUCGUAGUUGGAUUACAAAAGCUCUUUGGCGACCAAAUCUAGGUUUGGUCGCCGAGGGGUUUUUUUAUCGCGAGAGCCGCUCGUGGGAUUCAUUUCUUGUGGGCGGUCACUUGCGAGGUGUGCCUUGAAAUAUAAGCACCAGUGCUCAAAGGCAGGCGUUKGCUCGAAUGUUAUUAGCAUGGAACGAUUAAGUUGAUCUUGUCGACUGUUGGUUGUUGACAUUGGUCUCGAUUAAAAGGGACAUUUGAGGGCGUUAGUACUUGGUGGCGAGGGGUGAAAUCCUUAGACCCAUCAAAGACUAACUAAUGCGAAAGCAUUCGCCAAGAGUGUUUUCAUUAAUCAAGAACGAAAGUAGGAGGUUCGAAGACGAUCAGAUACCGUCCUAGUUCCUUACAGUAAACUAUGCCAACAUGGGAUUAGCCCGGUUUAAUCCAGGUUGGGCCCUCGGUGAAAAUAAGUGUUUCGGUUCCGGGGAGAGUGCGCACGCAAGUGGUAAAUUUAAAGAAAUUGACGGAAUGGCACCACCAGGAGUGGAGCCUGCGGCUUAAUUUGAUUCAACACGGGGAAACUCACCAGGUCCAGACAUUGAUAGGGAUUGACAGACUGAGAGAUCUUUCAUGAUUUGAUGAUUGGUGGUGCAUGGCCGUUCUUAGUUGGUGGAGUGAUCUGUCAGGUUUAUUCCGGUAACGAGCGAGACCACGAUCUUUAAUUGAUUACGACCAUAUUGUCUUGGCCGAUCUUAAAGAGACCACCGGAGUUAAGCCGGGGGAAGCGUGGCAAUAACAGGUCUGUGAUGCCCUUCGAUGUUCUGGGCUGCACGUGUGCUACAAUGAUAGUGACAACAAGUCCCUGCCUUGAGAGGGGCGGGAAAUCUUGAAAAUCGCUAUCUUGCUUUGGACUGAGCCUUGUAAUAAUUGCUCACGAAAGAGGAAUUCCUCGUAAGCGCGAGUCAUCAGCUCGUGUUGAAUACGUCUCUGCCCUUUGUACACACCGCCCGUCGCUACUACCGACUGGAUGUUGUUUCGAAAAGCUAGGACUGGCGGUUCCAUUAGGAGCUGCCCGGGAACAGCC